UACAGAGACUGCAAGCGUUAUUCGGAUCACUGGGCGUAAAGGGUGCGCAGGCGGUUGGGUGUGUCAGAUGUGAAUCCCGAGGCUCAACCUCGGAACUGCGUCUGAAACUACUCGACUAGAGUACUGGAGAGGGUAACGGAAUUCACGGUGUAGCAGUGAAAUGCGUAGAGUAUCGAUGGACGGAACACCAGGAGGCGAAGGCUGGUUACCUGGAGAGUUAACUGACGCUCGAGG
This 234-nucleotide ribosomal RNA is filed under the name uncultured bacterium. RNAcentral's name for it is "partial 16S ribosomal RNA". It matches the Rfam family "Bacterial small subunit ribosomal RNA", at positions 524 to 751 of the family's 1533-position model. The record is from RNAcentral.